CAGUCGCCGAGGUAAUACGAAGGGGGCUAGCGUUGCUCGGAAUGACUGGGCGUAAAGGGCGCGUAGGCGGCGAUCAAAGUCAGGCGUGAAAUUCCUGGGCUCAACCUGGGGGCUGCGCUUGAUACUUGGUUGCUUGAGUGGGGAAGAGGGUCGUGGAAUUCCCAGUGUAGAGGUGAAAUUCGUAGAUAUUGGGAAGAACACCGGUGGCGAAGGCGGCAACCUGGCUCAUUACUGACGCUGAGGCGCGAAAGCGUGGGGAGCAAACAGGAUUAGAGACCCCCGUAGUCCCUGUCUCUUAUAC
Molecule: ribosomal RNA, 301 nt
Filed under: uncultured bacterium
Lineage: Bacteria
Description: partial 16S ribosomal RNA
Rfam family: Bacterial small subunit ribosomal RNA
Source: RNAcentral